GGCCUUGUGGCCUAAUGGUAAGGCGUUAGAUGUCGGUUGGAAUUUCUCUAAAGAUUGCAGGUUCGAAUCCUGUCGGGGUCG
Parascedosporium putredinis is the source of this 81-nucleotide non-coding RNA. The record is from the annotation of a GenBank genome assembly. Lineage: Eukaryota; Fungi; Ascomycota; Sordariomycetes; Microascales; Microascaceae.